AAACUAACAAGGAUUCCCCUAGUAACGGCGAGUGAAGCGGGAUGAGCUCAAGCUUAAAAUCUCUGUGCCAGUUUGGCAUGGCGAAUUGUAGUCUAUGGAGGCGCUGUCAGUGCGAUUGUUCGGGGUAAGUUCCUUGGAAGAGGACAGCAUCGAGGGUGAUACUCCCGUAUGUACCUGUUCAGUUGCGCGUACGACACGUUUUCUUUGAGUCGCGUUGUUUGGGAAUGCAGCGCAAAGUAGGUGGUAAAUUCCAUCUAAAGCUAAAUAUUGGUGCGAGACCGAUAGCGAACAAGUACCGUGAGGGAAAGAUGAAAAGAACUUUGAAAAGAGAGUUAAAGAGUACCUGAAACUGCUGAAAGGGAACCGAAUCGUAUCCAGUGUCUAUAAUCCAUGGCAUAUUUCAUUGGCGAGUGAGUGCGUGCAGCGUUUUGGAAGUGGUUUUCCGCUCCUGUCGUUGUUGUGCAUUUGCUUGCUGGUGCCCUGUGCUGUGGUGGGACGUCAGAGUCAGUUUGUAUGUUGCGGGAAAUGGUUAUUGGGGAGGUAGGUCACUUCGGUGGCUGUUAUAUCCUGGUAACUAGUCGUCGUGGCUGAGACUGAGGUGCCUACAAUGUGCUUUCGAGUGUGCGGGAUUCUCGUGUGGCUGUUUGCUUUGAUAGCUUGCUAUGUUGGUGAAUAAGUCGUGCGAUUGAGACUUGUAUUAACUUGUUGCCGUUCGGGACUUUGACGAAAUGGAGCGAUCCGAC
This 743-nucleotide ribosomal RNA is filed under the name Pythium sp. UZ190. RNAcentral's name for it is "LSU rRNA". It matches the Rfam family "Eukaryotic large subunit ribosomal RNA", at positions 62 to 648 of the family's 3401-position model. The record is from RNAcentral. Lineage: Eukaryota; Oomycota; Peronosporomycetes; Pythiales; Pythiaceae.